GUUCCAAGUGCGUUCCAUCUCUCUAUCUUAACCACAUCAACAAGGAGCAACAAUACAAGUGAUCCCACAAACGGCUAUGUAGCCAAAAAAUAACAAAUUAACUUAAUACAGUUAAUCUCUAAAUUAAAAAAGAGAAAUGGGUUAGUAUCUUAAAUAUAAACAACAAGAGUAUCAAAAUAGCCACUGCAAAAUUUAGGCAUAUAUUUUAUAAGUGUA
Molecule: non-coding RNA, 216 nt
Organism: Pelobates cultripes (western spadefoot toad)
Lineage: Eukaryota; Metazoa; Chordata; Amphibia; Anura; Pelobatidae
Source: the annotation of a GenBank genome assembly